Molecule: transfer RNA, 67 nt
Filed under: Apodemus peninsulae (Korean field mouse)
Lineage: Eukaryota; Metazoa; Chordata; Mammalia; Rodentia; Muridae
Description: tRNA-Phe
Rfam family: tRNA
About the family: Transfer RNA (tRNA) molecules are approximately 80 nucleotides in length. Their secondary structure includes four short double-helical elements and three loops (D, anti-codon, and T loops).
Source: RNAcentral
GUUAAUGUAGCUUAAAUAAAGCAAAGCACUGAAAAUGCUUAGAUGGAUUUUUAUUAUCCCAUAAACA